AAACGAGAAAAAAAAAAAACAUGGACACCUCCACGUUCAUCUUUUGUUAGCAUUAAGCUCGUGAAUUUGUCGGUAUGUUGAUGGAGCUACAGUGCAGUAGAACUCAUUUAAUGUUAAGAAGUGCUGCUGUGUUCUCUACUCAAGCUGUUGAGCGGCCAUGCUGAUUAGACGUCACUUGCUGAACUCUGAAGAACUCGGACGAACAGGACACUGAACGGUUUUCACUGACAGCUCCAGAACUGAGGGAUAAAGUCCUACCCCUAUUGUUUUGCACUUCUCCAUUGUUACCAGCAGAUGGCAGCAGCAGGCUGUGAUCAGGAAUCUUGUGCGGUCAUGAGGAAAUAAUUGAAAUAGAUUUACACAUACAGCAGGCAAUUUUUUAAACCAAAGCAGCUCACAUGUGCUCCAUAAGAUGCUGAGAUGUAAUCUGUUAAUUAACUGUUAAUGGAAACAGCACUCUACGUAUGUUUUCCAAGCGCUCAUCCGCUCUCGCUCAGAUCGUCUGCAGGAGCUAGAGCGCUCGCCCGUUACAUCUGAAACGGAUUUCAGAAAUUACUGUAUGAAUAAACACCUACACAGACAUCGUGCAUCAUGGCCGACGCUUCCUUAAGGAACUUUAAUAGCUCAGAUGUUUCCAUGACCUUCUACAUGAAUAUUCCCAAAGUACACCAUUAAACAAAAUAAAACACAUUAAAACACUACAAAGUAUAAAUAGUACAUGUAGUAAACAAUUCUAAAUGUUAAUAAAAUAAAUUACGAGACCUUUACCAAGCCAUAUCAUAUCAAAUCUGUAUACCCGGUGUAACCUUCAACAGAGUGCUUCCCUGUCAGAACCCUUAAAGAACCCUUGAUUAUCCAAUGAACCCUUAAAAAACACUUAAAAAACCCUUUUUAAUUCAAUGGAUAAUUUUUAGUUCACUGGAUAAUUAAGGGGUUCUUAAGGGUUCACUGGAUAAUUAAGGUCUUUAAGGGGUUUCACUGGAUAAUUAAGGGUUCUUUAAGGGUUCACUGGAUAAUUAAGGGCUCUUUAAGGGUUCACUGGAUAAUUAAAGGGCUCUUAAGGGUUCACUGGAUAAUUAAGGGCUCUUUAAGGGUUCACUGGAUAAGUUAAGGUU
Molecule: long non-coding RNA, 1115 nt
Organism: Ictalurus punctatus (channel catfish)
Lineage: Eukaryota; Metazoa; Chordata; Actinopteri; Siluriformes; Ictaluridae
Source: Ensembl